This 254-nucleotide ribosomal RNA is filed under the name uncultured bacterium. RNAcentral's name for it is "partial 16S ribosomal RNA". It matches the Rfam family "Bacterial small subunit ribosomal RNA", at positions 524 to 776 of the family's 1533-position model. The record is from RNAcentral.
UACGUAGGGUGCAAGCGUUGUCCGGAAUUAUUGGGCGUAAAGGGCUCGUAGGCGGCGUGUCGCGUCGGGAGUGAAAGCCCGCUGCUUAACGGCGGGUUGGCUUCCGGUACGGGCAUGCUGGAGUGCGGCAGGGGAGACUGGAAUUCCUGGUGUAGCGGUGGAAUGCGCAGAUAUCAGGAGGAACACCGGUGGCGAAGGCGGGUCUCUGGGCCGUUACUGACGCUGGAGGAGCGAAAGCGUGGGGAGCGAACAGG